This 253-nucleotide ribosomal RNA is filed under the name uncultured bacterium. RNAcentral's name for it is "partial 16S ribosomal RNA". It matches the Rfam family "Bacterial small subunit ribosomal RNA", at positions 524 to 776 of the family's 1533-position model. The record is from RNAcentral.
UACGGAGGAUGCAAGCGUUAUCCGGAAUUAUUGGGCGUAAAGCGUCCGCAGGUGGACAUACAAGUCUGCUGUCAAAGUGCAGAGCUUAACUCUGUAAAGGCGGUGGAAACUGUAGGUCUUGAGUAUGGUAGGGGUAGAGGGAAUUCCCGGUGUAGCGGUGAAAUGCGUAGAUAUCGGGAAGAACACCAGUGGCGAAAGCGCUCUACUGGGCCAUAACUGACACUCAGGGACGAAAGCUAGGGGAGCGAAAGGG